CGGCGGACGGGUGAGUAACACGUGGGUGACCUACCUAUAAGACUGGGAUAACUCCGGGAAACCGGGGCUAAUACCGGAUAAUACAUGAAACCGCAUGGUUUCAUGAUGAAAGACGGUUUUGCUGUCACUUAUAGAUGGACCCGCGGCAUAUUAGCUAGUUGGUAAGGUAACGGCUUACCAAGGCAACGAUACGUAGCCGACCUGAGAGGGUGAUCGGCCACACUGGAACUGAGACACGGUUCAGACUCCUACGGGAGGCAGCAGAG
Molecule: ribosomal RNA, 266 nt
Filed under: uncultured Staphylococcus sp.
Lineage: Bacteria; Bacillati; Bacillota; Bacilli; Caryophanales; Staphylococcaceae
Description: partial 16S ribosomal RNA
Rfam family: Bacterial small subunit ribosomal RNA
Source: RNAcentral